GAUGAACGCUGGCGGCGUGCCUAAUACAUGCAAGUCGAGCGAACGGACGAGAAGCUUGCUUUUCUGAUGUUAGCGGCGGACGGGUGAGUAACACGUGGAUAACCUACCUAUAAGACUGGGAUAACUACGGGAAACCGGAGCUACUACCGGAGAAUAUUUUGAACCGCAUGGUUCAAAAGUGAAAGACGGUCUUGCUGUCACUUAUAGAUGGAUCCGCGCUGCAUUAGCUAGUUGGUAAGGUAACGGCUUACCAAGGCAACGAUGCAUAGCCGACCUGAGAGGGUGAUCAGCCACACUGGAACUGAGACACGGUCCAGACUCCUACGGGAGGCAGCAGUAGGGAAUCUUCCGCAAUGGGCGAAAGCCUGACGGAGCAACGCCGCGUGAGUGAUGAAGGUCUUCGGAUCGUAAAGCUCUGUUAUUAGGGAAGAACAUAUGUGUAAGUAACUGUGCACAUCUUGACGGUACCUAAUCAGAAAGCCACGGCUAACUACGUG
Molecule: ribosomal RNA, 497 nt
Filed under: uncultured bacterium
Lineage: Bacteria
Description: partial 16S ribosomal RNA
Rfam family: Bacterial small subunit ribosomal RNA
Source: RNAcentral